CAGCGUCGCGAGUGGCAAUCAUGUUUAUUGGGCCUAAAGCGUCCGUAGCCGGUUUAAUAAAUUCUUCGUGAAACCGUUGUGCUCAACAUAACGAUGUGCGAAGGAGACUGUUAAGCUUGGGACAGGAGAGGAGUUAGAGGUAUUCUUGGGGGAGCGGUAAAAUGCUAUAAUCCCUGGAAGACCAUCUGUGGCGAAAGCGUCUAACUAGAACUGAUCCGACGGUGAGGGACGAAAGCUAGGGGAGCAAAACGGAUUAGAUACCCGAGUAGUCC
RNAcentral lists this ribosomal RNA (272 nucleotides) under uncultured archaeon. Its description in RNAcentral is "partial 16S ribosomal RNA". It matches the Rfam family "Archaeal small subunit ribosomal RNA", at positions 477 to 747 of the family's 1478-position model. The record is from RNAcentral.